RNAcentral lists this long non-coding RNA (2442 nucleotides) under Sus scrofa (pig). RNAcentral's name for it is "lncRNA (ENSSSCG00070010653.1)". Lineage: Eukaryota; Metazoa; Chordata; Mammalia; Artiodactyla; Suidae. The record is from RNAcentral.
CAUUUAUGCUUCAUUGAAUUCAGCCAGUAGUUAGGUCUGCCUCUGGCAGUGAACAGAAGAAAGCAGCCAAGGGUUCACUCCCCGAGCCAGCACGCAAGGGUGUCCGUGCAGCUGGACUUUCAGGUGUGUCACGCUGGGGCUGAGGCCUCCGGAGGGACUCCUAGAAGGGAGGCGUGCGUGUAAAGCGCCAUCCUCAGCAGCCCACGACCUCGGACGGUUUGCCACUGUGGCCAGUGUUUUAUUGAUGCUUCUGAGGCCAUAGAGCACGCACGGGGAAGUUCUGAGCACACGGAGGACAAGCCAGGGCGGUGCUGUGUGGCCGCAGUCAACCCUAAGUAGGGUCCGAGUGGGGGACGGUCGCUAACACCUCGAUUCCUCAUGUCUGUGUUUCUGCAGCUUGGAGCUUGGAGAGUGUGUGUGAGAGCGACCUCGCUGACAGCAACCUCGCAGAAAGUGAUCGAGACUCGGUGGCGGAGCGCACCGACUGCCGCCAGGAUGAGGAGGCUGCAGGAACUCACGACGACGAUGUUGUGGAGGCCGGUGGGAGUGAGAAGACUGAGGCAAAGCCCCGGGCUGGGGGACAUGAGGACGAGGCGGCCCCAGUACCUGAGGUGGAGGUGGAGGAGGAGGCGGGCCAGCCCCGUGAAAAUGGCCAGGAGGAGUCCUUAGCCAUCGCCUGGGCUGAGCCGGAAGACGAGCCUGGCCCCAAGGUGGACGGGGCGGACGAUGAAAUCUCUUGGAGCUUGGAGAGUGUGUGUGAGAGCGACCUCGCUGACAGCAACCUCGCAGAAAGUGAUCGAGACUCGGUGGCGGAGCGCACCGACUGCCGCCAGGAUGAGGAGGCUGCAGGAACUCACGACGACGAUGUUGUGGAGGCCGGUGGGAGUGAGAAGACUGAGGCAAAGCCCCGGGCUGGGGGACAUGAGGACGAGGCGGCCCCAGUACCUGAGGUGGAGGUGGAGGAGGAGGCGGGCCAGCCCCGUGAAAAUGGCCAGGAGGAGUCCUUAGCCAUCGCCUGGGCUGAGCCGGAAGACGAGCCUGGCCCCAAGGUGGACGGGGCGGACGAUGAAAUCUCUUGGAGCUUGGAGAGUGUGUGUGAGAGCGACCUCGCUGACAGCAACCUCGCAGAAAGUGAUCGAGACUCGGUGGCGGAGCGCACCGACUGCCGCCAGGAUGAGGAGGCUGCAGGAACUCACGACGACGAUGUUGUGGAGGCCGGUGGGAGUGAGAAGACUGAGGCAAAGCCCCGGGCUGGGGGACAUGAGGACGAGGCGGCCCCAGUACCUGAGGUGGAGGUGGAGGAGGAGGCGGGCCAGCCCCGUGAAAAUGGCCAGGAGGAGUCCUUAGCCAUCGCCUGGGCUGAGCCGGAAGACGAGCCUGGCCCCAAGGUGGACGGGGCGGACGAUGAAAUCUGUGAGUAUUCUGGAGCCCGGCUCUGCUGAGGAGAAGUCCAGGUGUUGAGGAAAUGGGGGGGGGCCCGCGAGGGAGGCGGGGUGGGGGGGCUCUCCUGCUCCUUUGGUUGCAGAGACACCCUGAUUCUGGGUUCCUCCUGGGAAUGAGGGUGAAGGAUGGGGUGAAAGAGACGGACUUCCCAAGAAGGGCCACCCCAGGUUCUAGGGUCCCUGGACGAAAGGAGGCUCUUUGUAUGGCGUGGGUAGGUGUCGGGGGACACGGCCGGGGGGGUGGGAGGGUGGUGCGUGUGAGGGCCUGCUGGUGUGAUUGGCAAUCAGUGUGAGUGGGUGUGUGCUGUGGGGAGCUGUUUGUGGCUUAGCACCACACAGCUGUCCAGCUUCUAAUUGAGGAGUCUCACGAUGACCGCAGGCUAACCGUCCAUUCCCUCGUUCUGCCCGCACCGGCUGGGAGCAAGGGUUUGGGGAAAGGCAUUGCUUCCUCUGUUGGUCUUUCUUUUCCUUUUCGCUUCCCUCUCUGCCUUGUGUGGACUUUGAUACCGUUGUUUCAAACACGUGCCAGGGACUCGAGCCCCUUCAGGCUGUGAGUGUCCCGAGGAGUGUUGUGAACGCUGUGCUCCACCCGCACCUCCUGCCCACUCUGGGCAGCCACCCUUCCAGCCUCUGCUCAGGAGUGGUGUGUCAGACACUUGAUGCGCAUGACAUCAGAGAGUCUUUGUCCUUCUGUGCCUGACUUGCUUCGCUUGAAAUGCUGUCCUCCAGCGAGUUCCUGUCGAGGCUCAGUGGUCAUGAACCCGAGUGGUAUCUCUGAGGAAGCGGAUUCGACCCUUGGCCUUGCUCAGUGGCGGCAGAGGUCCCAGACGCGGCUGGUAUCCAGCUUUGCUGCGGCUGGGGUGUGGGCCGGUGGCUACAGCUCUGAUUUGCCGCCUCGCCUGGGAAUUUCCAUAUGCCGCGGGGCCGCUCUCAAACCCCGAAAGAAUUGAUCAGUAAUGUCCUCCAGUUCUCUGUGCAUUGCUGCAGUGGGUAGGGUUUC